CCAACCCAUCUUGCACACAAGAAAAUCCACUGUAUCCAUGACCUUCUUCUCAGACAAAGCCAUGCACAUGGGAUGCUUUCUGAAAAUCAACCAGAUCUCAUCUUCAGAAAAACCACAUCUCCUAUAAACCUCUAUUUUGUGUUCCCAUGUUUUGUGCGACAUGUGGUGAAAAACACGGACUGCCUCAACAAAUGUUAAUUUUGAAGAGUCAAAUCCUAGUUUCAAAACCUUCUUAACCCCUUCAGCAAACUUGC
RNAcentral lists this unclassified non-coding RNA (254 nucleotides) under Hevea brasiliensis (rubber tree). Lineage: Eukaryota; Viridiplantae; Streptophyta; Magnoliopsida; Malpighiales; Euphorbiaceae. The record is from RNAcentral.